This 169-nucleotide small RNA is filed under the name Chelonoidis abingdonii (Abingdon island giant tortoise). Its description in RNAcentral is "TUC338 (ENSCABG00000007413.1)". Lineage: Eukaryota; Metazoa; Chordata; Testudines; Testudinidae. The record is from RNAcentral.
AGGAAAGCCCUGGAUUCCAAAGUCCUCUAUUCAUUACAGAACAAAUACAGCAUGAGCAAGACCAGGUCAAUCCAUUGCCCUGCCAAUGUGACUGAUGCCUGACUUGGGGAAGCCACCUUCUGAGGUGAGAUGAUAGCACAGCUUUUCAUACCAUUUUUCUUUGGCCUCU